Molecule: small RNA, 20 nt
Filed under: Arabidopsis thaliana (thale cress)
Lineage: Eukaryota; Viridiplantae; Streptophyta; Magnoliopsida; Brassicales; Brassicaceae
Description: ATSL242750
Source: RNAcentral
AGGUUUCUUCUUCUUCUUUG